This is a long non-coding RNA of Astatotilapia calliptera (eastern happy), 1440 nucleotides long. The record is from Ensembl. Lineage: Eukaryota; Metazoa; Chordata; Actinopteri; Cichliformes; Cichlidae.
GUUAACACUAUUGGAAGGUGUUGUGAUAUUUUGAUACCAUGGUAGCAUUUACAGGAUAUUGUUUUGUAGUGAUAUUAUACAGAAAAGAGUUACUCAAUAAGGCCCAUUUACUAGUUGUUUUUCUCUUUCUCUCUGACCCAAGAAUUAAUGUGUAAGAAUCACAGGCUGGUACCCCAAGGUCGAAAAUACCACAGAGACGAGACCACUUCCUUACUCCCAUCCUCCCUUCCUUAUCUUUUAGAAAAGAGCUUGUUAAAAAGCCAGGUGGUUUGUUUCAGAAUUCACUAAUGAAAGAACUCUGUAUUCUAUGUCUAGGAGUGUAUUUUGCUGGGAUGAUCAUAAAUUGUAGCUGAACUGAUAAACUACACGAAGGAUACUUCUUUGCUCAGAAGGCAGGAAGACGUUUCCUUAUUUGGUCUGUACCGGUUUGAACUGAGAACCUGCUGACACACGAACCUUUUUUUCCUCUAUAUAAGCUGUUUUGUACUAAAUAAACCUUUGAGUUGGUUUGGGAAGGCAACCUGAAGCAGUCUGUGUUUCCUUGUUCUCCCAAGCUACUCCCGGCGCUGUAACUAACCCAGCUGAACGGCAUACUUGAGCGUUACUUUGAAUAAUUAGGAAUCUUAUAAGGAAAGGACAAAACUCUGCUUAUCGGUGCUCACGCCUUGGAGGGAAACCGGGACGGAGAUUUUCUCUUCAGAAGGGAAAAUAACUUGAACUCCAAUUUUGAAAACAAAAAUUUCUUUCUUUCUUCUUCUUCUUUUUUUUUUUUUUUUUUAAUAAAGCUCUGACUUGUAUUAUGAGUCUGAGUCUGUGGUCUGGGAGAGAGUCCUGUAACUCUCUGUCUGCAAAAUACAGUAUAUAAUGACCAAUGUUGGGCAAUUAAUUAUAUAGUUACUUCUAAAAAAAAGUAACUGAGUUUUGCAAACAACAAAGUUUUUUGCGGCUAUUUAAUGCAACCAAGGCGUUUAAAAAAAUAAAAAUAAAAAAUAAACAUUUCAAAGUAUUUCCAGAAUACAAAUCUGAUGCUACACAAAUUAUUUGUGUCACUCCAAAAAAUAAUUUCUGUCCACUAUGAGAUAAAGGAGCCUGAUACCUGCAGGCCUGACAACAGAAGAUGUAUCACUCCUGUAACACCUGUAACAUUCAGCAGUCGCCUCAUUGUUCUGACACACAUAACAAAAGUAUUGACUACACUACACAUUAACUACACAACACAACACACUAACUUUAGACUCCAAACACGCUAAACGACGCAAAUCUCUCACAUCUCAAACCACUGCUGUCACUCUUAAAACUCCCCCCCUUCUUAAAUAACUAAAUGCCAUGUUGCCAUAUAAUUUUUGAUUGGUCGACAUGGUACAUUUUUCCACCAAUAGGAAAGGGUGGGGUUUUGGUUUUGCUCACAGGCGGAGAGUGCUUUUGAGCGCUUUACUUCUA